Molecule: small RNA, 75 nt
Filed under: Xanthomonas campestris
Lineage: Bacteria; Pseudomonadati; Pseudomonadota; Gammaproteobacteria; Lysobacterales; Lysobacteraceae
Also listed under: 4 other names
Description: sX9 sRNA
Rfam family: Xanthomonas sRNA sX9
Source: RNAcentral
AUGUACCCACCUACAUUCCGGUUCCUUCACGCCGUCCGCACCCACCUGGCGACUGCUCGCUACGUUUUGUUAGCC